GUGGGGAAUAUUGGACAAUGGGCGCAAGCCUGAUCCAGCCAUGCCGCGUGAGUGAUGAAGGCCUUAGGGUUGUAAAGCUCUUUUGGCGGGGACGAUAAUGACGGUACCCGCAGAAUAAGCCCCGGCUAACUUCGUGCCAGCAGCCGCGGUAAUACGAAGGGGGCUAGCGUUGUUCGGAAUCACUGGGCGUAAAGCGCACGUAGGCGGACUUUCAAGUCAGGGGUGAAAUCCCGGGGCUCAACCUCGGAACUGCCUUUGAUACUGUUGGUCUUGAGUCCGGAAGAGGUGGGUGGAAUUCCUAGUGUAGAGGUGAAAUUCGUAGAUAUUAGGAAGAACACCGGUGGCGAAGGCGGCCCACUGGUCCGGUACUGACGCUGAGGUGCGAAAGCGUGGGGAGCAAACAGGAUUAGAAACCCCUGUAGUCC
Molecule: ribosomal RNA, 425 nt
Filed under: uncultured bacterium
Lineage: Bacteria
Description: bacterial SSU rRNA
Rfam family: Bacterial small subunit ribosomal RNA
Source: RNAcentral